RNAcentral lists this ribosomal RNA (468 nucleotides) under uncultured bacterium. RNAcentral describes it as "partial 16S ribosomal RNA". It matches the Rfam family "Bacterial small subunit ribosomal RNA", at positions 28 to 507 of the family's 1533-position model. The record is from RNAcentral.
GACGAACGCUGGCGGCGUGCUUAACACAUGCAAGUCGAACGGAAAGGCCCUGCUUUUGUGGGGUGCUCGAGUGGCGAACGGGUGAGUAACACGUGAGUAACCUGCCCUUGACUUUGGGAUAACUUCAGGAAACUGGGGCUAAUACCGGAUAGGAGCUCCUGCUGCAUGGUGGGGGGUGGAAAGUUUCGGCGGUUGGGGAUGGACUCGCGGCUUAUCAGCUGGUUGGUGGGGUAGGGGCUUACCAAGGCUUUGACGGGUAGCCGGCCUGAGAGGGUGACCGGCCACAUUGGGACUGAGAUACGGCCCAGACUCCUACGGGAGGCAGCAGUGGGGAAUAUUGCACAAUGGGCGGAAGCCUGAUGCAGCAACGCCGCGUGCGGGAUGCCGGCCUUCGGGUUGUAAACCGCUUUCGCCUGUGACGAAGCGUGAGUGACGGUAAUGGGUAAAGAAGCACCGGCUAACUACGUG